CCAAGAGACUGGGAUAACACCUGGAAACAGAUGCUAAUACCGGAUAACAACACUAGACGCAUGUCUAGAGUUUGAAAGAUGGUUCUGCUAUCACUCUUGGAUGGACCUGCGGUGCAUUAGCUAGUUGGUAAGGUAACGGCUUACCAAGGCAAUGAUGCAUAGCCGAGUUGAGAGACUGAUCGGCCACAUUGGGACUGAGACACGGCCCAAACUCCUACGGGAGGCAGCAGUAGGGAAUCUUCCACAAUGGACGAAAGUCUGAUGGAGCAACGCCGCGUGAGUGAAGAAGGGUUUCGGCUCGUAAAGCUCUGUUGGUAGUGAAGAAAGAUAGAGGUAGUAACUGGCCUUUAUUUGACGGUAAUUACUUAGAAAGUCACGGCUAACUACGUGCCAGCAGCCGCGGUAAUACGUAGGUGGCAAGCGUUGUCCGGAUUUAUUGGGCGUAAAGCGAGUGCAGGCGGUUCAAUAAGUCUGAUGUGAAAGCCUUCGGCUCAACCGGAGAAUUGCAUCAGAAACUGUUGAACUUGAGUGCAGAAGAGGAGAGUGGAACUCCAUGUGUAGCGGUGGAAUGCGUAGAUAUAUGGAAGAACACCAGUGGCGAAGGCGGCUCUCUGGUCUGCAACUGACGCUGAGGCUCGAAAGUAUGGGUAGCGAACAGGAUUAGAUACCCUGGUAGUCCAUGCCGUAAACGAUGAGUGUUAAGGUGUUGGGAGGUUUUCCGCCUCUCCAAGUGUUACAGCUAACGCAUUAAAGCACUCCGCCUGGGGGAAGUACGACGCAAGGGUUGAAACUCAAAGGAAAUGGUCGGGGGGCCCGCACAAGCGGUGGAGCAUGUGGUUUAAUCCGAAGCAACGGGAAGAACCUUACCAAGUCUUGACAUCCUCCUGAAUAAAGGGUAACGCCUUUAGGCCUUCGGGACAGGAGAGACAGGUGGUGCAUGGUUGUCGUCAGCUCGUGUCGUGAGAUGUUGGGUUAAGUCCCGCAACGAGCGCAACCCCUGCCCCCAGUAGCCAGCGCGCAGAGGCGGGCACUCUGGGGGGACUGCCGGGGACAACCCGGAGGAAGGCGGGGACGAUGUCAAAUCAUCAUGCCCCUUAUGGCUUGGGCUACACACGUGCUACAAUGGCGUAAACAGAGGGAAGCGAGAUGGCGACAUGGAGCGAAUCCCAAAAACAGCGCCCCAGUUCGGAUUGCAGGCUGCAACCCGCCUGCAUGAAGCCGGAAUCGCUAGUAAUCGCGGAUCAGAAUGCCGCGGUGAAUACGUUCCCGGGUCUUGCACACACCGCCCGUCA
This 1292-nucleotide ribosomal RNA is filed under the name uncultured bacterium. RNAcentral describes it as "partial 16S ribosomal RNA". It matches the Rfam family "Bacterial small subunit ribosomal RNA", at positions 130 to 1399 of the family's 1533-position model. The record is from RNAcentral.